UAUAGUGAUUGAUAGCUUCAUUCAUUCAUUAGAUAUAGAUUUUUGUAAAUUAUUUUUUCACACUCAACUGAUUUUAAUCAAUAUACAGAUUUACUCGGGAAUUAAGUUAAUUACCAUUCUUUUUGUAUUGUGCCUUUACUUUGCUUCAUCUCCCGUAAUUGUUUAUCCUUGUUCAACUUGUUGCUACCUUUUUCACGGUCAUUUUAUAACUGCUUAUCAACAAAUUAUUGCCAAUUAAUCAGCUGUCACUUUCAUCAAUUAUAUAACUCAACUAUUGGAUCUAAUCUGAAGGACUAACCAUUAUUAAACAAAUAAUUAACGCCAUUCGGAUUUUAAAAAAUGACCCACCAGAAGGCCAGGGAUGAAAAUAUUGAACAAGCUGCAAAAAAGUCAUUCAAUUAUUCGGUUUCUUCUUUGAAUAUCUGUCAUUUUAUCAUUUAAUUCUCAGAUUAAUUCACAUUAUCUGUCUUAAAAGAUGCAAUCAUAAUGGUUGACCCGUAAAAUUUGUGUCGAGAUUUGUUUGGAUUCAUCAGCACUCUAAUGAAAAUCAAUUAGUUUUGUCUCUACUAAUUAGAUGAAGCUGUUUAAUGGGUUGACGAGUGCAUUGUCAUGAAAGGUGAACAGUUCCAGUUGUAUUGUUUUGCGUUAAUUUGUUCAUUUACCUGGUCAUCAUUUGAAGACAAUUAAACAAGGAGCUUAAACAAUGAAGUGUCAACAAAUCAAAGGUCAUCAUCAUCUUGUAAACUGACUGACAGCCACUUAAUCAUAAAACUAUGGUUAAUCAGUAGCUUUUGAUUACUCAUUAGGACUGAAAGAGUAAAAAAGGCCGAAAGGAGAGCGCAAUAAUCUGAAACAAUUAGUGAUUAAGUACUACAAGAGUGAAGCCAAGGAAACGGAAGUUUGGGAAGAUUAAAGACAAGAUAAGGUCACUGAUGAGGAUAAUAUAUAUUUAAUAAUGAGGAUGAUGACACUUGAAAUGGUGAACAAAUGGCUGAAGACGAGGAUGAAACUAAAGAAAAAGCUAAACAAUAAAGACUGACCAAUUACUUAAUUAUAUCUACUUAUAUGAGGUCUUUAGGUUUCUCCUCAAAGGUUACCUUAAUUUCCAACAAUACAAGACAAAGUGAACCUUUUGUGUAUUGAACAGCUUUUCACUUUAAUCAACUUGUCAUAAUAAGCAAUCAAAUAUCAAGCAAGCAUGGUUAAACAACAAUUUGUAUUAAACAAACGUAAAAAACGAUUAGCCAAAAUGUUUGACAAUUCAACUCUCCAAAUCUUAACCUAACCUGUUCCCUUUCAACCUGUUGAUCAAUCCUUAUUUUUCAUGUGCACUUCUUGAUCGUCUUACAAAUCAUAAUGCAAGUCAAUUUAAUCCAUAAAGUAAAUUGAUUCUAUAUUAUCCAAUAUCAAUUGGUUAAUACAACAA
Tetranychus urticae (two-spotted spider mite) is the source of this 1426-nucleotide long non-coding RNA. RefSeq lists it as uncharacterized. The record is from RefSeq and is a predicted model, not a curated record. Lineage: Eukaryota; Metazoa; Arthropoda; Arachnida; Trombidiformes; Tetranychidae.